This 839-nucleotide ribosomal RNA is filed under the name Pleosporaceae sp. KUC21239. Its description in RNAcentral is "eukaryotic LSU rRNA". It matches the Rfam family "Eukaryotic large subunit ribosomal RNA", at positions 74 to 932 of the family's 3401-position model. Lineage: Eukaryota; Fungi; Ascomycota; Dothideomycetes; Pleosporales; Pleosporaceae. The record is from RNAcentral.
AUUGCCCUAGUAACGGCGAGUGAAGCGGCAACAGCUCAAAUUUGAAAUCUGGCUCUUUUAGGGUCCGAGUUGUAAUUUGCAGAGGGCGCUUUGGCUUAGGCAGCGGUCCAAGUUCCUUGGAACAGGACGUCACAGAGGGUGAGAAUCCCGUACGUGGUCGCUGGCCUUUGCCGUGUAAAGCCCCUUCGACGAGUCGAGUUGUUUGGGAAUGCAGCUCUAAAUGGGAGGUAAAUUUCUUCUAAAGCUAAAUACUGGCCAGAGACCGAUAGCGCACAAGUAGAGUGAUCGAAAGAUGAAAAGCACUUUGGAAAGAGAGUCAAAAAGCACGUGAAAUUGUUGAAAGGGAAGCGCUUGCAGCCAGACUUGCCUGUAGUUGCUCAUCCGGGCUUUUGCCCGGUGCACUCUUCUGCGGGCAGGCCAGCAUCAGUUUGGGCGGUUGGAUAAAGGUCUCUGUCACGUACCUCUCUUCGGGGAGGCCUUAUAGGGGAGACGACAUACAACCAGCCUGGACUGAGGUCCGCGCAUCUGCUAGGAUGCUGGCGUAAUGGCUGUAAGCGGCCCGUCUUGAAACACGGACCAAGGAGUCUAACAUCUAUGCGAGUGUUUGGGUGUCAAGCCCGAGCGCGUAAUGAAAGUGAACGGAGGUGAGAACCCUUUGGGUGCAUCAUCGACCGAUCCUGAUGUCUUCGGAAGGAUUUGAGUAAGAGCAUGGCUGUUGGGACCCGAAAGAUGGUGAACUAUGCUUGAAUAGGGUGAAGCCAGAGGAAACUCUGGUGGAGGCUCGCAGCGGUUCUGACGUGCAAAUCGAUCGUCAAAUUUGGGCAUAGGGGCGAAAGACU